RNAcentral lists this unclassified non-coding RNA (219 nucleotides) under Hevea brasiliensis (rubber tree). The record is from RNAcentral. Lineage: Eukaryota; Viridiplantae; Streptophyta; Magnoliopsida; Malpighiales; Euphorbiaceae.
AAUUUUGGAAGCCUUGGAAAAAGAGGCUGCAGAGUCUUAUGAUGAAUGGUAUUCUUCAACCCUGAAGUUACUUAGAGAAGCCUCGCCGUUGAACCUGAAAGUUACAUUAAGAUCUAUCCGCGAAGGUAGGUUUCAAAGUCUCGACCAAUGUCUUGCUCGUGAAUACAGGAUAUCCCUCAACGGAAUUUUAAAGCAGGCAUCUCCCGACUUCUACGAGGG